Non-coding RNA from Picea glauca (white spruce), 121 nucleotides. The record is from Rfam. NCBI's taxonomy places the organism in Eukaryota, Viridiplantae, Streptophyta, Pinopsida, Pinales, Pinaceae.
GUACAUGCCUACAACAUAAUGUUAAUGCACUGGAUCCCAUUAGAACUCUACAAUUAAGCAUGCUCGGGCUAGAGUAGUAUAAGGAUGGGUGAACGCCCGAGAAGUCCUAGUGUUUUACACG